GGAGGUAUAGCUCAGCGGUAGAGCAAUCGGCUGCAGUCUGAUAGGUCACUAGUUCGAUCCUGGUUGCCUCCU
This 72-nucleotide transfer RNA is filed under the name Selaginella moellendorffii. It matches the Rfam family "tRNA". From Rfam's summary of the family: Transfer RNA (tRNA) molecules are approximately 80 nucleotides in length. Their secondary structure includes four short double-helical elements and three loops (D, anti-codon, and T loops). Lineage: Eukaryota; Viridiplantae; Streptophyta; Lycopodiopsida; Selaginellales; Selaginellaceae. The record is from Rfam by way of RNAcentral.